UGGGCUAUAGCCAAGCGGUAGGGCAUCGCACUUUGUCUGCGACAUGCGUUGGCUCAGAUCCAGCUAGCCCAG
Molecule: transfer RNA, 72 nt
Filed under: Bacillus sp. OK048
Lineage: Bacteria; Bacillati; Bacillota; Bacilli; Caryophanales; Bacillaceae
Rfam family: tRNA
About the family: Transfer RNA (tRNA) molecules are approximately 80 nucleotides in length. Their secondary structure includes four short double-helical elements and three loops (D, anti-codon, and T loops).
Source: Rfam by way of RNAcentral